GUCUACAGCCAUGCUACCCAGAACAAGCCCAAUCCCGUCUGAUCUCAGAAGCUAAGCAGGGUCGGGCCUGGUUAGUACUUGGAUGGGAGACCACCUAGGAAGACCAGGUGCUUUAGGCG
RNAcentral lists this ribosomal RNA (119 nucleotides) under Pteropus alecto (black flying fox). The record is from RNAcentral. Lineage: Eukaryota; Metazoa; Chordata; Mammalia; Chiroptera; Pteropodidae.